AGGGUUUGAUUAUGGCUCAGGAUGAACGCUGGCGGCGUGCUUAACACAUGCGAGUCGAACGAACCUUCGGGUUAGUGGCGGACGGGUGAGUAACGCGUGAGAAUCUGCCCUCAGGAGGGGGAUAACGGUUGGAAACGACCGCUAAUACCCCAUAUGCCUACUGGUGAAACGAAUUUCGCCUGAGGAUGAGCUCGCGUCUGAUUAGCUAGUUGGUGAGGUAAUGGCUCACCAAGGCUUCGAUCAGUAGCUGGUCUGAGAGGAUGAUCAGCCACACUGGGACUGAGACACGGCCCAGACUCCUACGGGAGGCAGCAGUGGGGAAUUUUCCGCAAUGGGCGAAAGCCUGACGGAGCAACGCCGCGUGAGGGACGAAGGCCUCUGGGCUGUAAACCUCUUUUCUCAAGGAAGAAGAUAUGACGGUACUUGAGGAAUAAGCCACGGCUAAUUCCGUGCCAGCAGCCGCGGUAAUACGGGAGUGGCAAGCGUUAUCCGGAAUUAUUGGGCGUAAAGCGUCCGCAGGCGGCUUUUCAAGUCUGCUGUUAAAACGUGGAGCUUAACUCCAUCAUGGCAGUGGAAACUGAAAGGCUUGAGUAUGGUAGGGGCAGAGGGAAUUCCCGGUGUAGCGGUGAAAUGCGUAGAUAUCGGGAAGAACACCAGUGGCGAAGGCGCUCUGCUGGGCCAUUACUGACGCUCAUGGACGAAAGCCAGGGGAGCGAAAGGGAUUAGAUACCCCUGUAGUCCUGGCCGUAAACGAUGAACACUAGGUGUCGGGGGAAUCGACCCCUUCGGUGUCGUAGCUAACGCGUUAAGUGUUCCGCCUGGGGAGUACGCACGCAAGUGUGAAACUCAAAGGAAUUGACGGGGGCCCGCACAAGCGGUGGAGUAUGUGGUUUAAUUCGAUGCAACGCGAAGAACCUUACCAGGGUUUGACAUCCUGCGAACCUCUUAGAAAUUUGAGGGUGCCUUCGGGAAUGCAGUGACAGGUGGUGCAUGGCUGUCGUCAGCUCGUGUCGUGAGAUGUUGGGUUAAGUCCCGCAACGAGCGCAACCCACGUUUUUAGUUGCCAGCAUUUAGUUGGGCACUCUAGAAAGACCGCCGGUGAUAAACCGGAGGAAGGUGUGGAUGACGUCAAGUCAUCAUGCCCCUUACACCCUGGGUUACACACGUACUACAAUGCUACGGACAAAGGGCAGCAAACUCGCGAGAGCUAGCAAAUCCCAUAAACCGUGGCUCAGUUCAGAUCGUAGGCUGCAACUCGCCUACGUGAAGUAGGAAUCGCUAGUAAUCGCAGGUCAGCAUACUGCGGUGAAUACGUUCCCGGGCCUUGUACACACCGCCCGUCACACCAUGGAAGUUGGCCAUGCCCGAAGUCGUUACUCCAACCCUUGUGGAGGAGGACGCCGAAGGUAGGGCUAAUGACUGGGGUGAAGUCGUAACAAGGUAACC
This 1446-nucleotide ribosomal RNA is filed under the name uncultured marine microorganism. Its description in RNAcentral is "bacterial SSU rRNA". It matches the Rfam family "Bacterial small subunit ribosomal RNA". The record is from RNAcentral.